This 467-nucleotide ribosomal RNA is filed under the name uncultured bacterium. RNAcentral describes it as "partial 16S ribosomal RNA". It matches the Rfam family "Bacterial small subunit ribosomal RNA", at positions 28 to 506 of the family's 1533-position model. The record is from RNAcentral.
GACGAACGCUGGCGGCGUGGUUAACACAUGCAAGUCGAACGGAAAGGCCCUGCUUUUGUGGGGUGCUCGAGUGGCGAACGGGUGAGUAACACGUGAGUAACCUGCCCUUGACUUUGGGAUAACUUCAGGAAACUGGGGCUAAUACCGGAUAGGAGCUCCUGCUGCAUGGUGGGGGUUGGAAAGUUUCGGCGGUUGGGGAUGGACUCGCGGCUUAUCAGCUUGUUGGUGGGGUAGUGGCUUACCAAGGCUUUGACGGGUAGCCGGCCUGAGAGGGUGACCGGCCAAAGUGGGACUGGAAGACGGCCCAGACCCCUACGGGAGGAAGGGGUGGGGAAAAUGGCACAAGGGGGGGAAGCCUGAUGCAGAACCGCCGGGGGGGGGAUGACGGCCUUGGGGUUGUAAACCGCUUUCCCCUGUGACGAAGCGGGGGUGACGGUAAUGGGUAAAGAAGCACCGGCUAACUACGU